This 69-nucleotide transfer RNA is filed under the name Capra hircus (goat). It matches the Rfam family "tRNA". Rfam says of the family: Transfer RNA (tRNA) molecules are approximately 80 nucleotides in length. Their secondary structure includes four short double-helical elements and three loops (D, anti-codon, and T loops). Further hydrogen bonds mediate the characteristic L-shaped molecular structure. tRNAs have two regions of fundamental functional importance: the anti-codon, which is responsible for specific mRNA codon recognition, and the 3' end, to which the tRNAs corresponding amino acid is attached (by aminoacyl-tRNA synthetases). tRNAs cope with the degeneracy of the genetic code in two manners: having more than one tRNA (with a specific anti-codon) for a particular amino acid; and 'wobble' base-pairing, i.e. permitting non-standard base-pairing at the 3rd anti-codon position. RNAcentral also lists the same sequence under 1 other name. The record is from Rfam by way of RNAcentral. Lineage: Eukaryota; Metazoa; Chordata; Mammalia; Artiodactyla; Bovidae.
CCUGGUGGCUCAGAGGUUAAAGCGUCUGCCUGGAAUGCAGGAGACCUAGGUUCAAUCCCUGGGUCAGGA